This 506-nucleotide ribosomal RNA is filed under the name uncultured bacterium. RNAcentral describes it as "partial 16S ribosomal RNA". It matches the Rfam family "Bacterial small subunit ribosomal RNA", at positions 29 to 523 of the family's 1533-position model. The record is from RNAcentral.
AGUGAACGCUGGCGGUAGGCCUAACACAUGCAAGUCGAACGGCAGCACAGGAGAGCUUGCUCUCUGGGUGGCGAGUGGCGGACGGGUGAGGAAUACAUCGGAAUCUACUCUGUCGUGGGGGAUAACGUAGGGAAACUUACGCUAAUACCGCAUACGACCUACGGGUGAAAGCAGGGGACCUUCGGGCCUUGCGCGAUUGAAUGAGCCGAUGUCGGAUUAGCUAGUUGGCGGGGUAAAGGCCCACCAAGGCGACGAUCCGUAGCUGGUCUGAGAGAAUGAUCAGCCACACUGGAACUGAGCAACGGUCCAGACUCCUACGGGAGGCAGCAGUGGGGAAUAUUGGGCAAUGGGAGCAAGCCUGAACCAGCCAUACCGCGUGGGUGAAGAAGGCCUUCGGGUUGUAAAGCCCUUUUGUUGGGAAAGAAAUCCAGCUGGCUAAUACCCGGUUGGGAUGACGGUACCCAAAGAAUAAGCACCGGUUAACUUCGUGCCAGCAGCCGCCGUAA